RNAcentral lists this long non-coding RNA (2496 nucleotides) under Acanthaster planci (crown-of-thorns starfish). RNAcentral describes it as "uncharacterized LOC110976364". The record is from RNAcentral. Lineage: Eukaryota; Metazoa; Echinodermata; Asteroidea; Valvatida; Acanthasteridae.
AUGCAGUUUUGUUUAUCAGUAAAAGCGUAGCCACUCAUCAGCCAGUUCCCCUACGAUACAUAUAGCUGCAAUGACGUACCCUGGAUCAAGGCAUUGAUCCGUAAAACGGAGAGCAGUCAGCUCAAGAUUAGUAGUCGGGACAAUGUUUCCAAGGUGGACCUAUUUCAUGAAUCAACCAGAGCCAAGGUCCCAUCCUGAAGUUGUUAACCACAUGCCUUUGACGAAGGACUUGGACAAGCGUUCCUGUUCAGAAUUGGAUGUGCCAGCACUUCAGAAACGGUUUGCACCUUCCUUGAAGAGGUGUGGAUUUCUUUAUGAGCAAGGAGAAGAGAUUUGAUUGUAACAGGUAAGAAAUCCCAGGCCCUGACUCAAAACGUGGAUACAACACUGGUCAUGGACGCUUCAUUUUUCCUUUAGCAGACACACGUUUCAGUCAUUACUAACUGUUAGGUAGGCCCAAUGUUUGAUACAUUUUUCUCACAAAUGGCGAAUAAUUAUAAAGUCAACUCAUGCCAAGGAGUACGGUACCGAUGGUUUCAGGCGUACAAUUAUUUGCACUUCUUAGGAAGCUAUGAGGCGUGCAAUCGCACACCUUAAAACGAAAGGAGUAAUGCUUUUGUUGUCAUGGACACUCAUUGCUUCUUGUCAUUAAUUCAUCAGCCUUCAUAAGGAAUUGCGAAUAAAAGUGGUAAUAAACCACGCUAUAGGGUCAUGUAAAUGAAACUUUGAUUAUAUAUUGACAGCUAACUCGUUGGGGCUUUGGUCUUGUGACGAAUGGUAUUUGUAGCAGUUCUUAGCUCUGAAAGGGUAUACCAAUGCCAAAUAAUCCCGGAAGUCUGCUCUGAGGUCUGAAGUUUAGUCUUGGUUGUUUUUUUAAAUGUUACUUUUGUUGUGUGAUUUUAUUUACGAAAUGUGAUAUAUACAUUUAAAAAAAGUUGGAGUUAACCAGUACAGGGAUAUAAAAUAUGACCCCAGUAGUCCUCGAUCCUUUAUCUUUUGGAGAAUUGAGGACAUCAAUGAAUGGUUAAAGGGUUAAAGAAGAAAAAGUACACCAGAUACACAAACUUGAUAUUUUGUUUCAUGGAAAAGAUUUAUUUUUCAUUCCCUAACUAAUUGCGCUUAACAGAGGGCACCAAAUUGUCCCUUUGACAAGAGUUCGUCUGUGAGCUGGUGACAACACCAUGCCACGAGUGGCGUCGUUACAAGACUUACAAAUACAACUCCUGUAUAUUUUGAAUUGUUUUUAAGAUGUUUGUGAAAUGGAUUCCAAGAUAAAUAUAUUUCUGCACCAGGAUUUACCAUAAUAUUUCAACAUCGAUUUGACGCAUCAACAAUGGCGGCUUUCUUGAUAAAGCCUCUUAAGACAUCUGGAAACAAGUUGGAGAUUUUUGAAACAAUUUAGCGUUAUCUCUAAACAUCACAAGACAGGUGUAUUCUGAAAUUAUUUUAAAUUAUUUUAACUUCUCUGUACGCUAACAAUUAGUAUAAUGAAAACAUUUUACGCACAAGUUGUAUGCACAGUAUGACUUCCACUUAUGUCAGUAUUAAGGUAAGGUAUUAAGCAUUAAGGUACCAUCGGCUCUGUUGCUUUACAAGAAGGGCCUAUACAGUAGUUGGUGGCGAAAGUUUAAGACAAAUCACGCGACAGUGACGUGCAUCAAGUUGCUUUUUGUUCAUAUCCUCGUGACAUUCAACUGGCCUACUUUUCACGUCUUCAUUACAAAGCCUCUGGUUUGAGAGAGCAUUUCAGAAACGUGACCUCAAUUACAGUUGGUGUGUGCACUUUGUGUAAAUGAUAACUGAAGUCUCUGAGUGCCCCUGAGUACCCAUUAUCAAAACAGUCCUUGCAAAGCAUUAUUGUGACUUGUCAUGAAAUUUUAACACAGUGUUGGUAAUUUGUGCCAAAGGGGACUGGCAACUUACCACUGAUAAUGAUAUACCUGCCUACAACCUUAAUGGCGGCCAUUUUUGAUGGUUGUCAGAACUUUAUAGAGUAGAACUCUCAUCAAAAUACACCUCUUACGCUAACACAUUUCCAAUACCAGUACAAAGGCACUUGAGUAUAAGAUGUGAAUCACACCUUUGAAAAUUGUUAGUAUCAGGCUUAAAGGUGGCCUUUUCAGUUUGUUUUAAGUCAAGCACCCAGUGUCAUAAUUAAGACGGUACAUGUAGUUACCUGUUCCAGAAAUGUACAAGAAAUCUACCAGACUACAAGUUUUGACAUCGUUUCUGCCUUUCCGUACACGCACAAGUGUUAAAAAUCAACAAAAUACUAUGGUAUAAGCAUUAGCAUUGGAUUAUAUCAAAUUGAUCAAGAAAUAACAUUCAUCCUUAAAAUAUCUUACCACAGAAUACAAACUAAAAAUGAAAACUGGAAGUAAAAGGGGAUUACAUUUACCAAUUUGUUUGAAAAUACCUCAAGAAUUGACUCCUUUCAUGGUUAAUGGUUAGUUUGCUGCCGAUGAGCGCUUUGCCCCACAAAAAUUUCUUUCUCAG